GAGUACCAAGUAUUAGAUAGACUCCAUGGUAUAAGAAUCAAAGAAGGGAGCAAAAGCAGUCAAGAGAAGAACUGCGAGUGGAGUGAAUUUUUUGUUGUUUUUGUUGGAGAUUACAGGCAUCAUCAUCAUCAUCACCAUCACCAUCACCGCAGUAUGUACAAAAAGAACUUUUCCCACCAUCUCUCCAUCUUUUCUAUAUGAGAUGAUGAGAUGGUCUCUCUCGCUCUCUCUCUCUCUCUCUCUCUCUCUCUCAACUUUCCUCUCUCUUGGUCUUGGUUUCUUCUCUUGUUU
Long non-coding RNA from Telopea speciosissima, 291 nucleotides. RefSeq lists it as uncharacterized. Lineage: Eukaryota; Viridiplantae; Streptophyta; Magnoliopsida; Proteales; Proteaceae. The transcript has 3 exons. The record is from RefSeq and is a predicted model, not a curated record.